RNAcentral lists this ribosomal RNA (393 nucleotides) under uncultured bacterium. RNAcentral describes it as "partial 16S ribosomal RNA". It matches the Rfam family "Bacterial small subunit ribosomal RNA", at positions 523 to 918 of the family's 1533-position model. The record is from RNAcentral.
AUACGGAGGAUGCGAGCGUUAUCCGGAUUUAUUGGGUUUAAAGGGAGCGUAGGUGGGAUAUUAAGUCAGCUGUGAAAGUUUGGGGCUCAACCUUAAAAUUGCAGUUGAUACUGGUUUCCUUGAGUACGGUAUAGGUGGGCGGCAUUCGUGGUGUAGCGGUGAAAUGCUUAGAUAUAACGAAGAACUCCGAUCGCGAAGGCAGCUCACCGGGCCGGAACUGACACUGAUGCUCGAAAGUGCGGGUAUCAAACAGGAUUAGAUACCCUGGUAGUCCGCACAGUAAACGAUGAAUACUCGCUGUUUGCGAUACACUGUAAGCGGCCAAGCGAAAGCGUUAAGUAUUCCACCUGGGGAGUACGCCGGCAACGGUGAAACUCAAAGGAAUUGACGGGG